CACCACUCUGAAUGUAGUGCACACUUAAGAACUUAUAUGGAUCAGCGUUGAGGCUGAGACAUGUUCUUUUAUAACUUGUGACGUAGCGAGCGUUUGAGAUAUCUAUCUAAACGUGUCGUUGAGGCUAAGGCGGGGACUUUGAGUCCCUAAAUAAUUGAGUCGUAUGUUCGCGUUGGUGGCUUUGUACCCCACACAACACGGCAUGUGACCCUGAGGCAACUUGGGGUUAUAUGGUCAAGCGAAUAAGCGCACACGGUGAAUGCCUAGGCGGUCAGAGGCGAUGAAGGACGUGGUAGCCUGCGAAAAGUGUCGGGGAGCUGGCAACAAGCUUUGAUCCGGCAAUAUCCGAAUGGGGAAACCCACUGCUUCGGCAGUAUCCUGCAGUGAAUUCAUAGCUGCUGGAAGCGAACCCGGUGAACUGAAAUAUCUAAGUAACCGGAGGAAAAGAAAUCAACCGAGAUUCCCUAAGUAGUGACGAGCGAACGGGGAGCAGCCCUUAAGCUGGAAUGGCUUUAGAAAAACAAUCUGGAAAGAUUGGCCAUAGAAGGUGAUAGCCCUGUAUUUAAAAGGGCCACUCCAGUGAAGACGAGUAGGGCGGGGCACGUGAAACCCUGUCUGAAUAUGGGGGGACCAUCCUCCAAGGCUAAAUACUCCUGACCGACCGAUAGUGAACCAGUACC
RNAcentral lists this small RNA (680 nucleotides) under Xanthomonas axonopodis. RNAcentral describes it as "bacterial LSU rRNA". The stretch from base 233 to 680 matches the Rfam family "Bacterial large subunit ribosomal RNA", at positions 1 to 502 of the family's 2925-position model. The record is from RNAcentral. Lineage: Bacteria; Pseudomonadati; Pseudomonadota; Gammaproteobacteria; Lysobacterales; Lysobacteraceae.